UAGAGGAAGUAAAAGUCGUAACAAGGUUUCCGUAGGUGAACCUGCGGAAGGAUCAUUACAGUGUCUAGUCGGGGGGCCCCUCGGGGCCCCGGGCGACUGACCACCCUUGCCUACCUAACCACUGUUGCUUCGGCAGGCCCGCUCCCGGCGCCCCCUUACCGGGGUUUCCGGGUGCGGCCUGGGGCCUGGCUUAACCGCCGCCCGGGUGAGCGCCUGCCGGGGGAUUAGUUGAAACACUUGUUGAUCAGUGAGAACUCUGAGUUGAUUGCAAAAUCGUUAAAACUUUCAACAACGGAUCUCUUGGUUCCAGCAUCGAUGAAGAACGCAGCGAAAUGCGAUAAGUAAUGUGAAUUGCAGAAUUCCGUGAAUCAUCGAAUCUUUGAACGCACAUUGCGCCCUCUGGUAUUCCGGGGGGCAUGCCUGUCCGAGCGUCAUUGCACCAAUCAAGCACGGCUUGUGAGUUGGGCCAUCGUCCCCUAAAAAGGACGGGCCCGAAACGCAGUGGCGGCGUCGCGGUUUCUCGAUCAGCCAGAGUGUAUGGGGAAUCUUUUCACACGCUCACGGCCGGGACCGGCGCCAGUCGAUAACCCAACCAAAUUUAUCAAGGUUGACCUCGGAUCAGGUAGGGAUACCCGCUGAACUUAAGCAUAU
RNAcentral lists this ribosomal RNA (651 nucleotides) under Gymnoascus sp. 22MS07. RNAcentral describes it as "eukaryotic LSU rRNA". The stretch from base 281 to 434 matches the Rfam family "5.8S ribosomal RNA". Lineage: Eukaryota; Fungi; Ascomycota; Eurotiomycetes; Onygenales; Gymnoascaceae. The record is from RNAcentral.